Molecule: ribosomal RNA, 253 nt
Filed under: uncultured bacterium
Lineage: Bacteria
Description: partial 16S ribosomal RNA
Rfam family: Bacterial small subunit ribosomal RNA
Source: RNAcentral
UACGUAGGGGGCAAGCGUUGUCCGGAUUUAUUGGGCGUAAAGAGCGUGUAGGCGGCCAGGUAGGUCCGUUGUGAAAACUCGAGGCUCAACCUCGAGACGCCGAUGGAAACCAUCUGGCUAGAGUCCGGAAGAGGAGAGUGGAAUUCCUGGUGUAGCGGUGAAAUGCGUAGAUAUUGGGAGGAAUACCGGUGGCGAAGGCGGCUCCCUGGACCGGUACUGACGCUGAGGCGCGAAAGCGUGGGUAGCAAACAGG